GACGAACGCUGGCGGCGUGCUUAACACAUGCAAGUCGAACGGAAGGGCCCUGCUUUUGUGGGGUGCUCGAAUGGCGAACGGGUGAGUAACACGUGAGUAACCUGCCCUUGACUUUGGGAUAACUUCAGGAAACUGGGGCUAAUACCGGAUAGGAGCUCCUGCUGCAUGGUGGGGGUUGGAAAGUUUCGGCGGUUGGGGAUGGACUCGCGGCUUAUCAGCUUGUUGGUGGGGUAGUGGCUUACCAAGGCUUUGACGGGUAGCCGGCCUGAGAGGGUGACCGGCCACAUUGGGACUGAGAUACGGCCCAGACUCCUACGGGAGGCAGAAGUGGGGAAUAUUGCACAAUGGGCGGAAGCCUGAUGCAGCAACGCCGCGUGCGGGAUGACGGCCUUCGGGUUGUAAACCGCUUUCGCCUGUGACGAAGCGUGAGUGACGGUAAUGGGUAAAGAAGCACCGGCUAACUACGUG
This 468-nucleotide ribosomal RNA is filed under the name uncultured bacterium. RNAcentral describes it as "partial 16S ribosomal RNA". It matches the Rfam family "Bacterial small subunit ribosomal RNA", at positions 28 to 507 of the family's 1533-position model. The record is from RNAcentral.